Molecule: non-coding RNA, 268 nt
Organism: Pelobates cultripes (western spadefoot toad)
Lineage: Eukaryota; Metazoa; Chordata; Amphibia; Anura; Pelobatidae
Source: the annotation of a GenBank genome assembly
CUAAGAAUCUGCGUAUUCCUAAUGUCUUUCACACCUCGUUGUUGAAGCCUUUCGUACGCAACCGCUAUACCCGACAUGCACCUCCUCCCCCUCCUGUUUCUGUGGAGGGUCAUGAGGAAUUUGAAGUUUCUGCAGUUCUUGACUCUCGUUUCCUUAGGGGCCGACUUCAGUACCUAGUGCAUUGGAAGGGCCUGAGGAGCAUAGUUGGAUUUCCGCUGACGCGGUUCACGCUCCUCGUCUUGUGCGCUCUUUCCAUUCUCAUUUUCCU